Molecule: ribosomal RNA, 326 nt
Filed under: uncultured eukaryote
Lineage: Eukaryota
Description: partial 18S ribosomal RNA
Rfam family: Eukaryotic small subunit ribosomal RNA
Source: RNAcentral
CCCUUAGAUGUUCUGGGCCGCACGCGCGCUACACUGAUGCAUUCAACGAGUCCGACCUUGACCGAGAGGUCCGGGUAAUCUUUGAAACUGCAUCGUGAUGGGGCUAGAUUAUUGCAAUUAUUAAUCUUCAACGAGGAAUGCCUAGUAAGCGUGAUUCAUCAAAUCGCGUUGAUUACGUCCCUGCCCUUUGUACACACCGCCCGUCGCUCCUACCGAUUGAGUGUGUUGGUGAGGAGUUUGGAUUGGCCUCGGAAGGUGGUUCGCCACCGUCCGUAGCUGAGAAGUUCUCCAAACCGCCCCACUUAGAGGAAGGAGAAGUCGUAACA